This 1122-nucleotide long non-coding RNA is filed under the name Homo sapiens (human). RNAcentral describes it as "non-protein coding lnc-MED26-4:6". Lineage: Eukaryota; Metazoa; Chordata; Mammalia; Primates; Hominidae. The record is from RNAcentral.
GUUUAUCUUCCUCGCCCCCCACCCCCCGAGAGACCUUAAACCCAUACUCUCCGUUCCUUGGUUGUCCCUCUGUUCACCUUCCUGGAGAGCUUAAGCCCCAUCCCCCAAGAAAUAGCCCCACCGCGGACCUUCCGCCCUGCACCCGCACUGUCGGGCCACUUUGUAAACGGAAAAAGAAGGACACGCAGGGCUUUGGGGAGGAGUCCAGGGAGCCCAGCACAGGUGACAACAUCCGGGAAUUCUUGCUGAGCCUCAGAUACUUUCGAAUCUUCAUCGCCCUGUGGAACAUCUUCAUGAUGUUCUGCAUGAUUGUGCUGUUCGGCUCUUGAAUCCCAGCGAUGAAACCAGGAACUCACUUUCCCGGGAUGCCGAGUCUCCAUUCCUCCAUUCCUGAUGACUUCAAGAAUGUUUUUGACCAGAAAACCGACAACCUUCCCAGAAAGUCCAAGCUCGUGGUGGGUGGAAAAGUGUUCGCCGAGGUGUGCAUGGUUUCCCAGCCACGUCCCUGUUUUCAAAGAUAGUUUCACUUUGGUCUCUGAAUUGAAAUGCUGUCUACUGAAAGGGUUUCAGGAGCGUUUAUGUAAGGGGCUGUGAUGAAAUUGCAUUCCCCAUAGAUAAAAGAAAAAUCAUUUCUAUCCAGAGAUCUGAGCAGAAGGAUUGGCUUGUUAGUUUAACACAGCCGUAUUUUUGGACAUUCAGUGUUACUUGCUGAGUCUGACAGCCUCUGGGCCCGGCCAGGGGCCCUGUUAACAAACUGCUUUCACAUCCCAACAGGGUCUGCUUGGCCACUCAGUGCAGCUGCGAUUAACCCUAAAGGCUUUAAGGAACGGGCCACCUGUAACAGAGACACCAGCCUUCCUGUAUAGACACUAAAUUGUUAGCAAGAGUGUUGAGCUAGUUCCUGGUGAAGUGUUUCCACAGAAGACAUGUGGAGCAGUUGUGGGGAUAUUAAGGGAAACUUUCCUCUGCCUUGACCCCUUUGUUAAAUAAAAUGACUUUGGGAGCCAUUCAUUGUACAGUUGCAGGAAUGAGAGUGAUUUUAUGAUGUGGUACAUUGGGACCAUGUUCUAAAACCUUGGGUUUCUGAGUCUGCUUUUUGAGUAGGUGAUUUUGAGGUUGAAA